GGAUAAGAAGUAAAAUAUACAAUUAGUUUCGACCUAAAAAAAUGGGAUUAAACCCCUUAUCUA
This 63-nucleotide transfer RNA is filed under the name Ceratocombus sp. HL-2012. RNAcentral describes it as "tRNA-Arg". The record is from RNAcentral. Lineage: Eukaryota; Metazoa; Arthropoda; Insecta; Hemiptera; Ceratocombidae.